Molecule: transfer RNA, 70 nt
Filed under: Marcia hiantina
Lineage: Eukaryota; Metazoa; Mollusca; Bivalvia; Venerida; Veneridae
Description: tRNA-Ser
Source: RNAcentral
AGGGAUUCUUUAUUGGAUAGCAAUUAGCUUGAACCUAAUUUUAGAACGUUCGAUUCGUUCAGAAUCUUUG